This 483-nucleotide ribosomal RNA is filed under the name uncultured bacterium. RNAcentral's name for it is "partial 16S ribosomal RNA". It matches the Rfam family "Bacterial small subunit ribosomal RNA", at positions 30 to 506 of the family's 1533-position model. The record is from RNAcentral.
AUUGAACGCUGGCGGCAGGCCUAACACAUGCAAGUCGAGCGGCUGAAGAGAGCUUGCUCCUGGAUUCAGCGGCGGACGGGUGAGUAAUGCCUAGGAAUCUGCCUGGUAGUGGGGGAUAACGUCCGGAAACGGGCGCUAAUACCGCAUACGUCCUGAGGGAGAAAGUGGGGGAUCUUCGGACCUCACGCUAUCAGAUGAGCCUAGGUCGGAUUAGCUAAUUGGGGGGGUAAAGGCCUACCAAGGCGACGAUCCGUAAAUGGUCUGAGAGGAUGAUCAGUCACACUGGAACUGAGACACGGUCCAGACUCCUACGGGAGGCAGCAGUGGGGAAUAUGGGACAAGGGGCGAAAGCCGGAUCCAGCCAUGCCGCGUGUGUGAAGAAGGUCUUCGGAUUGUAAAGCACUUUAAGUUGGGAGGAAGGGCAGUAAGUUAAUACCUGGCUGUUUGGACGUUACCAACAGAAUAAGCACCGGCUAACUUCGU